UACAGAGGGUGCGAGCGUUAAUCGGAAUUACUGGGCGUAAAGCGUGCGUAGACGGCUAUCUAAGUCGGGUGUGAAAGCCCCGGGCUCAACCUGGGAAUUGCAUUCGAGACUGAAUAGCUAGGGUACGGUAGAGGGAAGUGGAAUUUCCGGUGUAGCGGUGAAAUGCGUAGAUAUGUGGAGGAACACCAGUGGCGAAGGCGACUCUUUGGCCUGUAACUGACGCUGAGGCGCGAAAGCGUGGGGAGCAAACAGG
Molecule: ribosomal RNA, 253 nt
Filed under: uncultured bacterium
Lineage: Bacteria
Description: partial 16S ribosomal RNA
Rfam family: Bacterial small subunit ribosomal RNA
Source: RNAcentral